Molecule: ribosomal RNA, 253 nt
Filed under: uncultured bacterium
Lineage: Bacteria
Description: partial 16S ribosomal RNA
Rfam family: Bacterial small subunit ribosomal RNA
Source: RNAcentral
UACGUAGGGGGCAAGCGUUGUCCGGAUUUAUUGGGCGUAAAGCGCUCGCAGGUGGUUCGUCGCGUCGUGCGUGAAAGCCCCCGGCUCAACUGGGGGAGGUCGUGCGAUACGGGCGGACUGGAGGCCAGUAGGGGGAUGCGGAAUUCCGGGUGUAGUGGUGGAAUGCGUAGAGAUCCGGAGGAACACCAGCGGCGAAGGCGGCAUCCUGGACUGGUCCUGACACUCAUGAGCGAAAGCGUGGGGAGCGAGCCGG